AUCCAGCUGACGAGUCCCAAGCGGGACGAAACGCGCGUCCUGGAU
Molecule: non-coding RNA, 45 nt
Organism: Schistosoma margrebowiei
Lineage: Eukaryota; Metazoa; Platyhelminthes; Trematoda; Strigeidida; Schistosomatidae
Source: Rfam